AAAGAGUCAGACACCACUGGGCGACUGAACAAAAAAGGAGGGUUGCUUUGAGCUCCUCAGACAUGGAUGGUGGGCUCUAACCAUCACCCAUCUUUGCUGAUAGCAAGAAUGGUAGCUGCAGAAUCACUAUUGUUUCAGCGUAUCCAGAGUGCUACAUUUGCAGCACUUAAAACGAAAAAUAAAACAAGCAGCAGAACUGGCAAUGAGGAAGAAAAAGGAAACCAGGAAGUUGGAAGCUGGCAUGAAGUGAUUUAUUUAGGAAAAAAGGAAAAAGAAAGAAAGGAGCACUCUGUGGUUAAUUAUGCUUAUCUGAGAUGAAUGUAUUUUGGUGAAAAAAAAUCUUAGAACUGCUUUUUAAAUUUUAGGGACUAUUUAGAUAUGGUUGCUAACAAUGUGUUAUCAUCCUAGGGUAGAAGUCGGUCAGUAAUUAUAGUUAUAAAUCAGAGAGACAGGUUUAAGACAGCUUCUUAGGAUUCCAAGACAAAGCUGCUCUGUGUGAUCUACAGGUUGAAAUAACUCUUCAGUGUUAUCUGGAGGCAAUGGGUGACUUAAAAUCAAUCAAUAGUAUCAGAAAUUCACAAAGCUCCUAGUUUGCCUCUUAACAAAAAAGUUCCACUAGUUUUUAGAGAAUACUGUUUUGUCUGUAACAAAACUGAACCUCAGGCAUGCUCUGACCUUUUAUUUCAUUCUUUUUCUUCUUAACUUUUGGCCAUGUCACACAGCUUGUGGCAUCGCAGCUCUCUGACCAGGGACUGAACCUGGGCCAUAGCAGUGAGUGCCAAAUCCUAACCACGGGACUUCCAGGGAACUCCCUAUUUCAUCAUUUAUGCUCUGACUCAUUCCACAAAACUUUUGUGGUUGUGCAGUAAGCUUUAAUUGUAAGUAAUUACAAUUGUAAAGGCAAAUGUGCUUUUCCUUUUUUUAAAAAAAAUAAUGGCCUUUUUGACUUGCCUGGUGGCACAGUGGGUGAGAAUCCACCAG
Non-coding RNA from Odocoileus virginianus texanus, 981 nucleotides. Lineage: Eukaryota; Metazoa; Chordata; Mammalia; Artiodactyla; Cervidae. The record is from RefSeq and is a predicted model, not a curated record.